AAUUGUUGUAUCCAGAUUUCCUCUUCUUCCAUCAACUUUAGGAAUUUGGCCAAUGGAAUACAUAUUUACAUUUUUGUUUUGCUUCAACUCAGAAAAUCAGCUUGUUAUAAUUCAACCGCAAUUCUUGAACUGUUAUGUUUUCUUUUGGUUUUCUCUAAAUAGCACGGCAUACUAUGGAUGCACAGCGGAACCAGUUAACUUUCUAUUUGUCACCCGGCUAUGUU
RNAcentral lists this long non-coding RNA (224 nucleotides) under Linum usitatissimum (flax). Its description in RNAcentral is "long non-coding RNA (LUSI_LNC000273)". The record is from RNAcentral. Lineage: Eukaryota; Viridiplantae; Streptophyta; Magnoliopsida; Malpighiales; Linaceae.